This 253-nucleotide ribosomal RNA is filed under the name uncultured bacterium. RNAcentral's name for it is "partial 16S ribosomal RNA". It matches the Rfam family "Bacterial small subunit ribosomal RNA", at positions 524 to 776 of the family's 1533-position model. The record is from RNAcentral.
UACGUAGGUGGCAAGCGUUAUCCGGAUCUAUUGGGCGUAAAGGGAACGCAGGCGGUCUUUUAAGUCUGAUGUGAAAGCCUUCGGCUUAACCGGAGUAGUGCAUUGGAAACUGGGAGACUUGAGUGCAGGAGAGGAGAGUGGAAUUCCAUGUGUAGCGGUGAAAUGCGUAGAUAUAUGGAGGAACACCGGUGGCGAAAGCGGCUCUCUGGCCUGUAACUGACACUGAGGCUCGAAAGCGUGGGGAGCAAACAGG